This 434-nucleotide ribosomal RNA is filed under the name uncultured bacterium. RNAcentral's name for it is "bacterial SSU rRNA". It matches the Rfam family "Bacterial small subunit ribosomal RNA", at positions 355 to 804 of the family's 1533-position model. The record is from RNAcentral.
UCGGGAAUUUUGGGCAAUGGGCGAAAGCCUGACCCAGCAACGCCGCGUGAAGGAUGAAGUAUUUCGGUAUGUAAACUUCGUAAGAAUAGGAAGAAUAAAUGACGGUACUAUUUGUAAGGUCCGGCUAACUACGUGCCAGCAGCCGCGGUAAUACGUAGGGACCAAGCGUUGUUCGGAUUUACUGGGCGUAAAGGGCGCGUAGGCGGUGUGUCAAGUCAGUUGUGAAAUCUCCGAGCUUAACUCGGAACGGUCAACUGAUACUGUCACACUAGAGUACAGAAGGGGCAAUCGGAAUUCUUGGUGUAGCGGUGAAAUGCGUAGAUAUCAAGAGGAACACCUGAGGCGAAGGCGGGUUGCUGGGCUGAUACUGACGCUGAGGCGCGAAAGCGUGGGGAGCAAACAGGAUUAGAUACCCUUGUAGUCCCUGAGCGGGC